AUUUCUUCUAAUUGCGAAAUAGAUGUGCUUAAAGAAAAACUUGAAGAGCAACGAACACGGCAAGAGGAAGAAUUAGCUCAAAUGAAAGCUCAAUUGGAUGCUCAACAAGCUGUUGUGAACUCUCUCAUAGCGCGCUUUGACAAUGAA
This is a non-coding RNA of Arachis ipaensis, 147 nucleotides long. The record is from RefSeq and is a predicted model, not a curated record. NCBI's taxonomy places the organism in Eukaryota, Viridiplantae, Streptophyta, Magnoliopsida, Fabales, Fabaceae.